UUCUGUGGGGACGGAGCGGCCGGCCGCAACUUGCGGUUCGAGCUAGCGCUUUCCCUACAUCCUGCCGCGAACCGUGCUACCAUUAGUUUGGUGGCGCCGGGGAUCGGCUCGUUUACUUUGAGAAAAAUAGAGUGUUCAAAGCAGGCCACACGCCUUGAAUAAGUUAGCAUGGAAUAAUAAUAAAGGACUUCGGUUCUAUUUUGUUGGUGUUCGGGACUGAAGUAAUGAUUGAUAGGGACAGUUGGGGCGGUCAGUAUUCCAAAGCGAGAGGUGAAAUUCUUAGACCUUCGGAAGACUAACAGCUGCGAAAGCGUUCCGCAAGGAUGUUCCCUUUGAUCAAGAACGAAAGUUGGGGGAUCGAAGACGAUCAGAUACCGUCGUAGUCUCAACUAUAAACUAUACCAGCUAGGGAUCGGCCAACGUUAAAUUAUUCGACUUGGUCGGCACCUUAUGAGAAAUCAAAGCAUCUGGGUUCCGGGGGGAGUAUGGUCGCAAGGCUGAAACUUAAAGGAAUUGACGGAAGGGCACCACCAGCCGUGGAGCCUGUGGCUUAAUUUGACUCAACACGGGAAAACUUACCAGGUCCAGACAUAGUAAGGAUUGACAGAUUGAUAGCUCUUUCUUGAUUCUGUGGGUGGUGGUGCAUGGCCGUUCUUAGUUGGUGGAGUGAUUUGUCUGGUUAAUUCCGUUAACGAACGAGACCCCAGCCUGCUAAAUAGCGUGGUUGAGCUUUGCUCGGCGCAAGCUUCUUAGAGGGACUAUGAUGCGCGAUAGCACAUGGAAGUUUGGGGCAAUAACAGGUCUGUGAUGCCCUUAGAUGUUCUGGGCCGCACACGGGCUACACUGGCGCCUGCAACGAGCAUAUCAGCUGGCCCGAGAGGGUCUUGGCUAAUCUUUUGAACCGGCGCCGUGCUUGGGAUUGACCAUUGCAAUUGUUGGUCAUGCAACGAGGAAUGCCUUGUAAACGCGAGUCAUCAACUCGCAUUGAAUACGUCCCCGCCCUUUGUACACACCGCCCGUCGCUCUACCGAUGAAUG
This 1037-nucleotide ribosomal RNA is filed under the name uncultured eukaryote. RNAcentral describes it as "SSU rRNA". It matches the Rfam family "Eukaryotic small subunit ribosomal RNA", at positions 640 to 1695 of the family's 1831-position model. The record is from RNAcentral.